GCCCAUGAGCUAGGUCACACCCUAGGCAUGAUGCAUGACCAUUCAGGCUGCAGAUGUGGAGAACAAUCUUCCUGCAUCAUGAAUGAGGCUGUCACCCGUGAGAGUCGUUACAGUAAUUGCAGUAUUGACAACUACUAUGAAUUUAUAAGGACACGCCGUGGGACCUGCCUCUACAACAAGCCAGACCCCAGCAGAAUAAUGAGGAAGUCAGUCUGUGGGAACCGAGUGUUAGACAGAGGGGAGGAGUGUGACUGUGGCAGUGUUGAGACCUGCUCGAAGGACCCUUGCUGUCUUCCCACAUGCAGGAUGACCAGAGGUUCCGUAUGCGCCUUCGGGCCCUGCUGUGAGGGCUGCCAAUUUCGGUUAAGGGCAGUGUUUGCCGUCCCAGUAAGGAUGAGUGUGACCUCCCUGAAUAUUGCAAUGGUACCUCCAUGUGGUGCCAACCAGAUUUCUACAAAUUAGAUGGCACCCCGUGCGCAACUGACGGGUAUUGCUAUGUAGGGCUCUGUCGGGACCUGAAUAAACAGUGCGUUGAUAUCUUUGGCAAAGAAGCCAUAUCUGCCCGAGAUAGUUGUUAUCAGUUGUUGAAUACCAAAGGGGACCGGUUUGGGAACUGUGGCAGCAAAAUUUCUGGGCUCUCUAAGCACUUUCUGAAGUGUGCUGAGAAAGACGUCAAGUGUGGGAAGAUUGUAUGUGAGAAGGUUCUGAACGUGCCCCAAAGUAGGACCACCACACCUUUAUCCAGGUGAUGCAUGAUGAAACUUGGUGCUGGGGCGCAGACCUCUUUGAGGAGGUUGAUGUUCCUGAUAGAGCACGAGUGUCCAACGGUACCGGCUGUGGCAUGAACAAAGUCUGCAUGAACAAUGUCUGCUUAUUUCAUCCAUUUUUCCUCUUUUUGGAAGAGUGCAAUCCAAUUUUCAAGUGUAACAGUAGAGGGUGUAAUCUGGUACCUCAUAAUCCUGGCCUAUGCCCAGAAAAAGAAGAGACGAAAACAGAAAGCCACACAAAACAGAAAAGCCCAUGUAAGAAGGAUCUGAAGGAGAAGGAUUGGGGCAUCUCCCAGGACCUCUUGCAUGUCACCAACUCAUGCUUUGGAAGCAUAGCUGUGAUUUGGAACAGGAAUCAUUUGAAUAAAAAGAUAAGUGAAAAAUACAACUGUGUUCAGGAGAGAUGUGGGUUUCAGCUUGGGGCUACACACACAGAACUGGG
RNAcentral lists this long non-coding RNA (1209 nucleotides) under Phascolarctos cinereus (koala). RNAcentral's name for it is "lncRNA (ENSPCIG00000035430.1)". The record is from RNAcentral. Lineage: Eukaryota; Metazoa; Chordata; Mammalia; Diprotodontia; Phascolarctidae.